AAAGGGUGCGUAGGCGGGUAGGUAAGUCAGUGGUGAAAUCCUGGAGCUCAACUCCAGAACUGCCAUUGAUACUAUCUAUCUUGAAUAUUGUGGAGGUAAGCGGAAUAUGUCAUGUAGCGGUGAAAUGCUUAGAUAUGACAUAGAACACCCAUUGCGAAGGCAGCUUACUACGCAUAUAUUGACGCUGAGGCACGAAAGCGUGGGGAUCAAACAGGAUUAGAUACCCUGGU
Molecule: ribosomal RNA, 230 nt
Filed under: uncultured bacterium
Lineage: Bacteria
Description: partial 16S ribosomal RNA
Rfam family: Bacterial small subunit ribosomal RNA
Source: RNAcentral